Molecule: ribosomal RNA, 467 nt
Filed under: uncultured bacterium
Lineage: Bacteria
Description: partial 16S ribosomal RNA
Rfam family: Bacterial small subunit ribosomal RNA
Source: RNAcentral
GACGAACGCUGGCGGUGUGCUUAACACAUGCAAGUCGAACGGAAAGGCCUAGCUUGCUGGGUACUCGAGUGGCGAACGGGUGAGUAACACGUGGGUGAUCUGCCCCUGACUUUGGGAUAAGCCUGGGAAACUGGGUCUAAUACCGGAUAUUCAUUUUUCCUCGCAUGGGGAUUUGUGGAAAGCUUUUGCGGUUGGGGAUGGGCCCGCGGCCUAUCAGCUUGUUGGUGGGGUAAUGGCCUACCAAGGCGACGACGGGUAGCCGACCUGAGAGGGUGAUCGGCCACACUGGGACUGAGACACGGCCCAGACUCCUACGGGAGGCAGCAGUGGGGAAUAUUGCACAAUGGGCGCAAGCCUGAUGCAGCGACGCCGCGUGAGGGAUGACGGCCUUCGGGUUGUAAACCUCUUUCAGCUCCGACGAAGCGCAAGUGACGGUAGGAGCAGAAGAAGCACCGGCCAACUACGUG